UAUUACAACAUUUCAUAGAUAAGAGAAAUCAGAGUAAAAGCGGAAAGGUUACAUAACGUAGAUUGAAACUUAAGUUCAUAGUUUACAAACCAUAAGUAUUUGAUACAUAAAAGCUUCGGAACUUUAUAUUACAUAAACCAUAGAUCACACAACAAGUUUUUACUUGCCCAAGGUCACACAUCAGAUUCCUCAUCAUCAUUACUCUCCUCCACAAGAGUAAAGUAACCAUGACCAUCAAAAGGAUUCUCAAGAGGUUCACCUGCAACAGGGGUUAAUAAACCCUGAGUACAAAAGUACUCAACAAGACUUAACCGACUAUAAAAGAGGUGGAAACUCAGGUAUGCAGGCUAUAGGGAUUCAAGGUAAAGCUUUAUCAAGAUCAAGUAUUUCUUUUGCAUAAAAGCUUACUAAGAGUAAAGCCUACUUUCAAGUUUUAACUCAAGAUUAUCACUUAUAACUAACCAAGAUCAUUAUCCUACUUUCAUAACCAAAUCACCUCUUUCUUAUACCAAAGAUUCACUUAUUACUACGAUGAUGGGGUGAGGAUUGAGGCUCCAUAUCCGAGGAAACACGGCGAUUCGAAUCGAUUAAACCCAGCUGGGGAUUCAGUACCACACGACAUAUGUAGAACUUAAUCUUGCAUAUGUCAACCUGUUUCUAUAGAUCCUCCCAUACAAGAACGGGUCCAGCGUCACCCGAGAGUACAGUACACCACCAUCCUACAGCCAAUCUAGAUGUUUUCCGGUCAUCUCAGAUCCGUAAGGUGGGUACACGCUACUCUCGCCAUCUCUCCACUCCCAGUACGCGGUUAGCCGUUCUCAAGUAUCGGAAUAGCUAUAGGUAAGGCUUACCAGCGCAUGUGGGCUGUACUCAAAGGUCUCAAUCACAACAGGCCAACAAUGGUACGGUCCUUAAUCGACACAGUCGGAGACACUACUUUAAGACUCCAUUCUUAAAGCAAGUCCACCGACCGGUCUCAAGUUUAAACAUUAUUAACCAUAAAAGUAUUCCACAACAACCCUUCAAACUUUCUCAUUUGAAAACUUAUCUAAUGAGCAGGGCUAAGCAUACUAAGUAUUUUCAUAAAACAAGUAUCAAAGUUAAUAUGGAAUCAUCAAGGUAGAUAAUGCAGCAAAUAGGAUUCACUCAAUUCCUAUUCACCUAAUGCAUCAUAUUAACUCAAGUGAUAUAAAUAACUUUAUGAAAAUACAAGGAUAGGGUUUAAUGUCCGGGGCUUGCCUUGACCGGAAGGGACGUUCGACAACUCAGCAAAACCCGAAGGAUCCACAAACUCGGAAGCAACCCACUGAGGAUCAGAU
This 1319-nucleotide long non-coding RNA is filed under the name Sorghum bicolor (sorghum). RNAcentral's name for it is "long non-coding RNA (SBIC_LNC004920)". Lineage: Eukaryota; Viridiplantae; Streptophyta; Magnoliopsida; Poales; Poaceae. The record is from RNAcentral.